This 231-nucleotide long non-coding RNA is filed under the name Carica papaya (papaya). RNAcentral's name for it is "long non-coding RNA (CPAP_LNC016361)". Lineage: Eukaryota; Viridiplantae; Streptophyta; Magnoliopsida; Brassicales; Caricaceae. The record is from RNAcentral.
AAAGGCAAAAGGGUUAUGUGAAUUGAUAAGUGGAAAAUGUGGACAGCCUGACUAGAUAUCCUGAGAGAUGGUGGACGGACCGGGUCUGUAGGGAACCCUACCGGGAACGUGGUCUCUCAUACCGGACGGGGUAUGAAGACCUUAUGUGUUUUGGCGCCCAUACCGGAUGGGGUAUGGGGACGGCCCGUUUCACCCUAAUACCGGACGGGGUAUUGAGGUUCAUGGUUUUGG